UCGUUGAGCAGGCACUUUGGUGACUCUAGAUAACCUCUGGUUGAUCGCACAUCCCCGUGAUGGCGACAUUGCAUUCAGAUGUCUGCCCUAUCAACUUUAGAUUGUACUUUCUGCGCUUACCAUGGUGACCAUGGGUAAUGAGGAAUCAAGGUUCAAUUCUGGAGAGGGAGCCUGAGAAACGGCUACCACAUCCAAGGAAGGCAGCAGGCGCGCAAAUUACCCACUCCCGACGAGGGGAGGUAGUGAUGA
Non-coding RNA from Pelobates cultripes (western spadefoot toad), 249 nucleotides. The record is from the annotation of a GenBank genome assembly. Lineage: Eukaryota; Metazoa; Chordata; Amphibia; Anura; Pelobatidae.